Long non-coding RNA from Hipposideros armiger (great roundleaf bat), 734 nucleotides. RefSeq lists it as uncharacterized. NCBI's taxonomy places the organism in Eukaryota, Metazoa, Chordata, Mammalia, Chiroptera, Hipposideridae. The transcript is spliced from 3 exons. The record is from RefSeq and is a predicted model, not a curated record.
AAGAGGAAACGUCUGAAAAACUUUUGGAUUUUCCAAUUCUCCACUUCAAAUAGCCAAGGGCCAGAGACCGCAGAAAGGAAACUCGUAGAGAUAGUUCCACUAAGGUUUAGAGCCAAAGACUCAGGCCGGCCCCAAAGCCUGAGCUGAAGACACUCGCUCCUCAUUUCUCAUCACUCGAGUGAGACACCUGGCAGGCAGGAAAGCUUUAGUCCUUCCAACUCCAGAUUUCCUGUGACUACUCAACCAUAAUGCAGACCACCGUGGUCUCCGCCACGGCAAGUUUCUCCUGGGAGGUUAUUCAGGGUGCUGUGGUGUGCAACCUCCACUGCUAAACUGCUACGCAGAGGAAAGCAGAGCCCAGGGAAUUGCAGAGAAAUGGAGCUGCAGCCCCGGGUUAAGCCAGCCCCGAAGUCUGCAUUCUUUCUAGCUUCUAGUUAUGUCGAAGUCCUGAAGCCCAAACCUCAGAAUCCGCGCCUACUUGGAAAAAAGGUCACUGCAGAUGUAAUUAGUUAAGAUGAGGUCAUGCUGCAGGAGGGCGCAGGCCCCUAAUCCGAUGUGACUGGUUUUCUUUCUCAUGAGAAGACAGCCAUGUGAAGACACAGGCGCACAGGGAGAGUGUCACGUGAUGACAAAGGCAGAGUACCCAGAGUUGUGUAACUGCAAGUCUGGAAUGCCAGGGGUCACCAGCAAACCUCCAGACGUUAGAAAGAGAAAAAGAAGGGUUUCUGCAUAGG